Molecule: ribosomal RNA, 2900 nt
Filed under: Klebsiella pneumoniae
Lineage: Bacteria; Pseudomonadati; Pseudomonadota; Gammaproteobacteria; Enterobacterales; Enterobacteriaceae
Description: bacterial LSU rRNA
Rfam family: Bacterial large subunit ribosomal RNA
Source: RNAcentral
UUAAGCGACUAAGCGUACACGGUGGAUGCCCUGGCAGUCAGAGGCGAUGAAGGACGUGCUAAUCUGCGAAAAGCGUCGGUAAGGUGAUAUGAACCGUUAUAACCGGCGAUGUCCGAAUGGGGAAACCCAGUGUGAUUCGUCACACUAUCGUUAACUGAAUACAUAGGUUAACGAGGCGAACCGGGGGAACUGAAACAUCUAAGUACCCCGAGGAAAAGAAAUCAACCGAGAUUCCCCCAGUAGCGGCGAGCGAACGGGGAGCAGCCCAGAGUCUGAAUCAGCUUGUGUGUUAGUGGAACGGUCUGGAAAGUCCGACGGUACAGGGUGAUAGUCCCGUACACCAAAAUGCACAGGCUGUGAACUCGAAGAGUAGGGCGGGACACGUGGUAUCCUGUCUGAAUAUGGGGGGACCAUCCUCCAAGGCUAAAUACUCCUGACUGACCGAUAGUGAACCAGUACCGUGAGGGAAAGGCGAAAAGAACCCCGGCGAGGGGAGUGAAAAAGAACCUGAAACCGUGUACGUACAAGCAGUGGGAGCACCUUCGGGUGUGACUGCGUACCUUUUGUAUAAUGGGUCAGCGACUUAUAUUCUGUAGCAAGGUUAACCGUAUAGGGGAGCCGCAGGGAAACCGAGUCUUAACUGGGCGUUAAGUUGCAGGGUAUAGACCCGAAACCCGGUGAUCUAGCCAUGGGCAGGUUGAAGGUUGGGUAACACUAACUGGAGGACCGAACCGACUAAUGUUGAAAAAUUAGCGGAUGACUUGUGGCUGGGGGUGAAAGGCCAAUCAAACCGGGAGAUAGCUGGUUCUCCCCGAAAGCUAUUUAGGUAGCGCCUCGUGAAUUCAUCUUCGGGGGUAGAGCACUGUUUCGGCUAGGGGGUCAUCCCGACUUACCAACCCGAUGCAAACUACGAAUACCGAAGAAUGUUAUCACGGGAGACACACGGCGGGUGCUAACGUCCGUCGUGAAGAGGGAAACAACCCAGACCGCCAGCUAAGGUCCCAAAGUCAUGGUUAAGUGGGAAACGAUGUGGGAAGGCACAGACAGCCAGGAUGUUGGCUUAGAAGCAGCCAUCAUUUAAAGAAAGCGUAAUAGCUCACUGGUCGAGUCGGCCUGCGCGGAAGAUGUAACGGGGCUAAACCAUGCACCGAAGCUGCGGCAGCGACACUAUGUGUUGUUGGGUAGGGGAGCGUUCUGUAAGCCUGCGAAGGUGUGCUGUGAGGCAUGCUGGAGGUAUCAGAAGUGCGAAUGCUGACAUAAGUAACGAUAAAGCGGGUGAAAAGCCCGCUCGCCGGAAGACCAAGGGUUCCUGUCCAACGUUAAUCGGGGCAGGGUGAGUCGACCCCUAAGGCGAGGCCGAAAGGCGUAGUCGAUGGGAAACAGGUUAAUAUUCCUGUACUUGGUGUUACUGCGAAGGGGGGACGGAGAAGGCUAUGUUAGCCGGGCGACGGUUGUCCCGGUUUAAGCAUGUAGGCUGGUUGUCCAGGCAAAUCCGGAUAAUCAAGGCUGAGGUGUGAUGACGAGGCACUACGGUGCUGAAGUAACAAAUGCCCUGCUUCCAGGAAAAGCCUCUAAGCAUCAGGUAACAUUAAAUCGUACCCCAAACCGACACAGGUGGUCAGGUAGAGAAUACCAAGGCGCUUGAGAGAACUCGGGUGAAGGAACUAGGCAAAAUGGUGCCGUAACUUCGGGAGAAGGCACGCUGGUGUGUAGGUGAAGUCCCUGCGGAUGGAGCUGAGACCAGUCGAAGAUACCAGCUGGCUGCAACUGUUUAUUAAAAACACAGCACUGUGCAAACACGAAAGUGGACGUAUACGGUGUGACGCCUGCCCGGUGCCGGAAGGUUAAUUGAUGGGGUUAUCCGUAAGGAGAAGCUCUUGAUCGAAGCCCCGGUAAACGGCGGCCGUAACUAUAACGGUCCUAAGGUAGCGAAAUUCCUUGUCGGGUAAGUUCCGACCUGCACGAAUGGCGUAAUGAUGGCCAGGCUGUCUCCACCCGAGACUCAGUGAAAUUGAACUCGCUGUGAAGAUGCAGUGUACCCGCGGCAAGACGGAAAGACCCCGUGAACCUUUACUAUAGCUUGACACUGAACAUUGAGCCUUGAUGUGUAGGAUAGGUGGGAGGCUUUGAAGCGUGGACGCCAGUCUGCGUGGAGCCAACCUUGAAAUACCACCCUUUAAUGUUUGAUGUUCUAACGUUGGCCCCUGACCGGGGUUGCGGACAGUGUCUGGUGGGUAGUUUGACUGGGGCGGUCUCCUCCCAAAGCGUAACGGAGGAGCACGAAGGUUAGCUAAUCCUGGUCGGACAUCAGGAGGUUAGUGCAAUGGCAUAAGCUAGCUUGACUGCGAGCGUGACGGCGCGAGCAGGUGCGAAAGCAGGUCAUAGUGAUCCGGUGGUUCUGAAUGGAAGGGCCAUCGCUCAACGGAUAAAAGGUACUCCGGGGAUAACAGGCUGAUACCGCCCAAGAGUUCAUAUCGACGGCGGUGUUUGGCACCUCGAUGUCGGCUCAUCACAUCCUGGGGCUGAAGUAGGUCCCAAGGGUAUGGCUGUUCGCCAUUUAAAGUGGUACGCGAGCUGGGUUUAGAACGUCGUGAGACAGUUCGGUCCCUAUCUGCCGUGGGCGCUGGAGAAUUGAGGGGGGCUGCUCCUAGUACGAGAGGACCGGAGUGGACGCAUCACUGGUGUUCGGGUUGUCAUGCCAAUGGCACUGCCCGGUAGCUAAAUGCGGAAGAGAUAAGUGCUGAAAGCAUCUAAGCACGAAACUUGCCCCGAGAUGAGUUCUCCCUGAGACUUUAAGUCUCCUGAAGGAACGUUGAAGACGACGACGUUGAUAGGCCGGGUGUGUAAGCGCAGCGAUGCGUUGAGCUAACCGGUACUAAUGAACCGUGAGGCUUAACCUU